GGGGACGUUCUGGAUUCGACAGGGGUAGGUCGGGUUUAGGUUGCGAGCCGAGGGGGUCGGCCUCGAUAAAACGCCAACGCCUAUAACUGGCAAAGAAAACAACAACCUCGCUUUAGCAGCGUAAGCUCUAUAGCGGUUCCUCCCUCCAUCGCCCACGUGGUAGGGUAAGGGACUCACUCUUAGUGGGAUACGCUUGACGCUCUCCGCCUGGGGGCGCCAUGAAGAGAACAAUCAGGCUAGCCGCACGGGUGCCUGUCGGUAGGCCGAUGUGCUGGCGAAAUCGAAGUAUGCCGACUACGCUCGUAGAAGCUUAAAUUGCGUUAUCUCUGGACGUGGGUUCAAUUCCCACCGUCUCCACCA
This 360-nucleotide transfer-messenger RNA is filed under the name Pullulanibacillus sp. KACC 23026. It matches the Rfam family "transfer-messenger RNA". From Rfam's summary of the family: Bacterial tmRNA, also known as 10Sa RNA or SsrA, is named for its dual tRNA and mRNA-like properties. Its role is to liberate the mRNA from a stalled ribosome. Lineage: Bacteria; Bacillati; Bacillota; Bacilli; Caryophanales; Sporolactobacillaceae. The record is from RNAcentral.